Molecule: ribosomal RNA, 530 nt
Filed under: uncultured bacterium
Lineage: Bacteria
Description: bacterial SSU rRNA
Rfam family: Bacterial small subunit ribosomal RNA
Source: RNAcentral
AAAAUAGAUACCCCAGGUAGUCCACGCCGUAAACGAUGAGUGCUAAGUGGUUAGAGGGUUUCCGCCCUUUAGUGCUGCAGCUAACGCAUUAAGCACUCCGCCUGGGGAGUACGGUCGCAAGACUGAAACUCAAAGGAAUUGACGGGGGCCCGCACAAGCGGUGGAGCAUGUGGUUUAAUUCGAAGCAACGCGAAGAACCUUACCAGGUCUUGACAUCCUCUGACAACUCUAGAGAUAGAGGCGUUCCCCUUCGGGGGACAGAGUGACAGGUGGUGCAUGGUUGUCGUCAGCUCGUGUCGUGAGAUGUUGGGUUAAGUCCCGCAACGAGCGCAACCCUUGAUCUUAGUUGCCAGCAUUCAGUUGGGCACUCUAAGGUGACUGCCGGUGACAAACCGGAGGAAGGUGGGGAUGACGUCAAAUCAUCAUGCCCCUUAUGACCUGGGCUACACACGUGCUACAAUGGAUGGUACAAAGGGCUGCAAGACCGCGAGGUCAAGCCAAUCCAUAAAACCNUUCUCAGUUCGGAUUGU